AUGUUUCGCAUUAGAUCAGAUUUCACAGUCCUCGUGCAUUGUUUGUUUGGGAUAAGAACACACGUGGCUCAGACAGUCAACGGAUGCCUGUCUGAAAAUAAGCCUAUACUUGGAUGUUGUUGGAUACUUGCUCAUUCUAAAUGUUUAAAUGACUUAAUGCUUUGUUCUAAAUUAGGCCUAUUUUUUUUUUUUUUUUUGGUGCUCCAUAUUUUUCCUUCAGUUUUGCACAAAGCCGUGUUUGCUGGGAAGAAGAAGUACAGUCAGGAUUGGGGCUAUGAAGACGAAGUUGGCAAUCUGAAGAGGUACUUGGAAAAAGAAAACAAGAUCUCCAUUUGGGACAUCCAUUUUUCUCACUGCAAUUUAUUCAUUCUUGUCUACAAGUGA
Molecule: long non-coding RNA, 384 nt
Filed under: Carassius auratus (goldfish)
Lineage: Eukaryota; Metazoa; Chordata; Actinopteri; Cypriniformes; Cyprinidae
Description: lncRNA (ENSCARG00000002167.1)
Source: RNAcentral